Molecule: long non-coding RNA, 294 nt
Filed under: Phascolarctos cinereus (koala)
Lineage: Eukaryota; Metazoa; Chordata; Mammalia; Diprotodontia; Phascolarctidae
Description: lncRNA (ENSPCIG00000035283.1)
Source: RNAcentral
AGGCAGCUUCAAGUAUUUUUAUAUGUAGUUAAAAAGGGUGCUCUAAGAAAUCUGUCCCAUGAGGGGCUGAGUGCACUGAAUUUAGGAAUCUGGAGGUUUGGGUACGAGCUGCAGCACAACCACCAGCCCACAGGCCACUUAUGCCACCUACCACUGACAGAUCGUGGUUGAAAUGAACACCCAGCCUGUGCCAGACAUCUCGUCUCCAAAGUACAUCCCUCGAGUAUGGGAUCAACCAAUCAGAGGGUAGGAAGAUGGUUUAUAUCCCACCCUCUCCAUAAUAGCCAGUUGUGA